CGGGUUCGUAAAGCACUUUCAGUAGGGAGGAAGGUAGUGUAGUUAACACCUGCACUACUUUGACGUUACCUACAGAAGAAGCACCGGCUAACUCCGUGCCAGCAGCCGCGGUAAUACGGAGGGUGCGAGCGUUAAUCGGAAUUACCUGGGCGUAAAGCGCACUGCAGGCGGCCUGUUAAGUCAGAUGUGAAAGCCCGGGGCGUUAACCUCGGAAUUGCAUUUGAAACUGGCAGGCUAGAGUCUUGUAGAGGGGGGUAGGAAUUUCAGGUGUAGCGGUGAAAUGCGUAGAGAUCUGAAGGAAUACCCAGUGGCGAAGGCGGCCCCCCUGGACAAAGACUGACGCUCAGAUGCGAAAGCGUGGGGAGCAAACAGGAUUAGAUACCCCUGGUAG
This 391-nucleotide ribosomal RNA is filed under the name uncultured bacterium. RNAcentral describes it as "bacterial SSU rRNA". It matches the Rfam family "Bacterial small subunit ribosomal RNA", at positions 418 to 793 of the family's 1533-position model. The record is from RNAcentral.